AUUGAACGCUGGCGGCAGGCCUAAUACAUGCAAGUCGAGCGGAGGAAGGGAGCUUGCUCCUGGAUUCAGCGGCGGACGGGUGAGUAAUGCCUAGGAAUCUGCCUGGUAGUGGGGGAUAACGUCCGGAAACGGGCGCUAAUACCGCAUACGGCCUGAGGGAGAAAGUGGGGGAUCUUCGGACCUCACGCUAUCAGAUGAGCCUAGGUCGGAUUAGCUAGUUGGUGGGGUAAAGGCCUACCAAGGCGACGAUCCGUAACUGGUCUGAGAGGAUGAUCAGUCACACUGGAACUGAGACACGGUCCAGACUCCUACGGGAGGCAGCAGUAGGGAAUAUUCGACAAUGGGCGAAAGCCUGAUCCAGCCAUGCCGCGUGUGUGAAGAAGGUCUUCGGAUUGUAAAGCUCUUUAAGUUGGGAGGAAGGGCAGUAAAUUAAUACCUUGCUGAAUUGGCGUUACCAACAGAGAAAGCACCGGCUAACUACGUG
RNAcentral lists this ribosomal RNA (484 nucleotides) under uncultured bacterium. Its description in RNAcentral is "partial 16S ribosomal RNA". It matches the Rfam family "Bacterial small subunit ribosomal RNA", at positions 30 to 507 of the family's 1533-position model. The record is from RNAcentral.